RNAcentral lists this ribosomal RNA (403 nucleotides) under Fusobacteriota bacterium. Its description in RNAcentral is "Fusobacteria bacterium partial 16S ribosomal RNA". It matches the Rfam family "Bacterial small subunit ribosomal RNA", at positions 355 to 776 of the family's 1533-position model. Lineage: Bacteria; Fusobacteriati; Fusobacteriota. The record is from RNAcentral.
UGGGGAAUUUUGCACAAUGGAGGAAACUCUGAUGCAGCGACGCCGCGUGAGUGAUGAAGAUCUUCGGAUUGUAAAACUCUGUCCUUAGUGAAGAUAAUGACAGUAACUAAGAAGCAAGCCCUGGCUAAAUACGUGCCAGCAGCCGCGGUAAUACGUAUGGGGCAAGCGUUGUCCGGAAUUAUUGGGCGUAAAGGGUACGUAGGCGGUUUAAUAAGUCCUAAUUAAAAGGCUAUGGCUCAACCAUAGUAUGGUUAGGAAACUGUUGAACUUGAGUAGAUGAGGGGAAAGUGGAAUUCCAUGUGUAGCGGUGAAAUGCGUAGAUAUAUGGAGGAACACCAAUGGCGAAGGCAACUUUCUGAAAUCAAACUGACGCUGAGGUACGAAGGCGUGGGGAGCAAACAGG